AUGAACGCUAGCUACAGGCUUAACACAUGCAAGUCGAGGGGCAGCGGGAUUGAAGCUUGCUUCAAUUGCCGGCGACCGGCGCACGGGUGAGUAACACGUAUCCAACCUGCCGUCUACUCUUGGACAGCCUUCUGAAAAGGAAAGAUUUAAUACAAGAUGGCAUCAUGAGUCCGCAUGUUCACAUGAUUAAAGGUAUUCCGGUAGACGAUGGGGAUGCGUUCCAUUAGAUAGUAGGCGGGGUAACGGCCCACCUAGUCUUCGAUGGAUAGGGGUUCUGAGAGGAAGGUCCCCCACAUUGGAACUGAGACACGGUCCAAACUCCUACGGGAGGCAGCAGUGAGGAAUAUUGGUCAAUGGACGAGAGUCUGAACCAGCCAAGUAGCGUGCAGGAUGACGGCCCUAUGGGUUGUAAACUGCUUUUAUAAGGGAAUAAAGUGGGAGUCGUGACUCUUUUUGCAUGUACCUUAUGAAUAAGGACCGGCUAAUUCCGUG
Molecule: ribosomal RNA, 492 nt
Filed under: uncultured bacterium
Lineage: Bacteria
Description: bacterial SSU rRNA
Rfam family: Bacterial small subunit ribosomal RNA
Source: RNAcentral